This is a long non-coding RNA of Rosa rugosa (rugosa rose), 1591 nucleotides long. RefSeq lists it as uncharacterized. The transcript is spliced from 4 exons. NCBI's taxonomy places the organism in Eukaryota, Viridiplantae, Streptophyta, Magnoliopsida, Rosales, Rosaceae. The record is from RefSeq and is a predicted model, not a curated record.
UUUUUCAUAAUGCUGACUUUCUUGGACCAACGCAAUAAGAAAUUGGUAUCCCUUUGUUUAUCGAGCCAAACCGGAGAGAGAAACAAACAUGACUCUCCCUUGUUCAAAAUCACAAGUGUUAAUGACGAAUUUCGAUUCAUCACUCUCUUUCUCUGUCGGUAUUGUUUUCAAUCCGAGAGUAAAACCCUCGCAAUCUUCCCUCUUAGAUCUAUCCACCAAGCUAUGAUCUACCUCUUGCCAAAAAAAAAAGCCUGCUAAGAUCUACCCACUGAGGUAUCUCAAUCCAUUUCUGCAAAUCUGAUGGUACAUCAGUCACCGACACAUCUCCGUCUCCUCCAAAUCUGAUGCCACUGAGGAUUUGUUUGAGAUUUUUAUGGGUUGACUCUCCUCUGCAGCUGUCGAUCCGCAACUCUUUCUCUGCGGCUUCUCACAAUUGGGUCACCAAUUCAGUUCUCUCUCUAUAUAUAUAUGUAAAUCUUUCUUCCUUUUUUCCCUUAUUAUAAUUCCCAGAAAUUGAUCUCAGGUGCUUCAAGUAUGGAACUUUAUUUCUGCCCGGGCUUUAAUUUACACUUAUUGUUUGACAUCUGAAUUGAAUCAUUAAACUUGAACUUUGGGGUUUUUAGUUGUGCUUGUUAUUCUAUUCGAUCAAUGUUUGAUCGUUUUUUUUUUUUUUUUUCCUUUUGACAUCUCUUUGAUCAAUUAAUUGCUUCCAGGUUGCAAUACUAGUGGAGAUUGAGGUUGCUUUAAUUGAAAUUAAAAUUCUAAUAUGCUGUUCAUGUACUGUGGACUCGAGUACAGUUGCAGUGGCAAUUGAAACUCUUAAGAAUCUUGAUUGAUUAUCUGUUUGAUUAUCAGGUAUGAAAUUUCAGAAAUGGGUAUUGUUUCACCAAUCUCUUAAGUUCCAUUUUAAGUUGAACAUGAGUUCUCUGUAAUUCUUGUGGAUAAUUUUCACUGCCUUAUAGUAGUCUUAAUUAUGUCAUUCAUCUUCUCUUGAAUCUAUUAGAUUUUUUUGUGCCUUACUUGGACAUACAACUCUUGAAAUCAUUUUUAGUUCCUAUACAACAUCUGUUCUCAAACUAUUGAUAUGCUCCUUUAUUCAAUUGACCAACUUUCAUUAUAUUUUACAGUUCUUCUUAAAUCAAACUUGAAAUUUUUUUUGUCAGGUGGUGCUAUGACUUUUGUUAGAAGAAUUCUUCAACCCAGUAAUUUGCUUUCAUACUUAAGUACGAGCUGCUGAAGUUAUUGUGAUUCAAACUAUGAGAUGUGAAAAUGCUCGUUGAGACUUGCUGCUAAAUUUGGCUCAGCAAGUGUAGCUGUUCUAGGAUAUCAAGAAGGCGCUAUUAAGACAAUUGCACAUAAGGUUGCAGCAUAAAUGAGGCAAAGCUGGUAUACAAAAUAUUCUUAGGUUCUGUAUGCAUUAUUAUGUGGUUGCUAGAAGUUGGCAAUUGAUCUUACAUGUUUUACAGUUUGAUCCUUGGUACCAUAAUUAUUAGUGAAAUGCUCUUGUUUCUUUCAUGUGUUGAGAAAUCUAAAGUUGUAAUUGAAUGGUUUCAGGAAAUUUAUAAUUAAAUAUUUUGGGAUGAUUGAUUUA